This is a non-coding RNA of Triplophysa dalaica, 80 nucleotides long. NCBI's taxonomy places the organism in Eukaryota, Metazoa, Chordata, Actinopteri, Cypriniformes, Nemacheilidae. The record is from the annotation of a RefSeq genome assembly.
GGGCCAGUGGCGCAAUGGAUAACGCGUCUGACUACGGAUCAGAAGAUUCUAGAUUCUAGGUUCGACUCCUGGCUGGCUCG